Molecule: long non-coding RNA, 643 nt
Filed under: Rattus norvegicus (Norway rat)
Lineage: Eukaryota; Metazoa; Chordata; Mammalia; Rodentia; Muridae
Description: long non-coding RNA NONRATT017318
Source: RNAcentral
UCUCUAAGAAAUUCUGAGUUUGAGCCCCUUAUUUUCAAAGUUCCUGGCUAGGGAGCAGAAUGUGUCAGUACAUAAGCGCUUGCCUUGCAAGCAAAAGCAUCCAAGGUUAAUCCCAGAGCUGCACAUAAAAAUUCCAGACAUGGUGGCACACAUUUGUAACCCUAGUAAGGUGGAAACAAGGAGGGUCCCUGGGACUCACUGUCCAGCCAGGCUAGCCUGAUUGGUGAACUCUUGGCCAAUGAAGAACACUGUCUGGAAGGAGGUAGAUGGGGCAUUGCUUAAGUGUGACGCUUAAAGUCAUCCUCCUGUCUCUAAAUGAAGGUACACACAUACAUACCAUGAACACAUGAACCAACACAGGGGCACACAUGCAACACUGUCGCGCGCCCAAUGUCCCGCCAGCAAGAACGACGCGCGGCAACAGGAUUCUUCUGCGAGCAAGCCUUUACUGUGUUACAGCUCUUCUCAGUGUUACAGCUCUUCUCAGUGUUACAGCUCUUCUCAGUGUUACAGCUCUUCUCAGUGUUACAGCUCUUCUCAGUGUUACAGCUCUUCUCAGUGUUACAGCUCUUCUCAGUGUUACAGCUCUUCUCAGUGUUACAGCUCUUCUGAACAGGGACCCCGAGCAGCAAAAUCGCUCGGC